Molecule: long non-coding RNA, 637 nt
Organism: Schistocerca gregaria
Lineage: Eukaryota; Metazoa; Arthropoda; Insecta; Orthoptera; Acrididae
Exons: 2
Source: RefSeq, a predicted model, not a curated record
AACGUUUACCCUUGAAGCCAUCAUAGACUUUAUAAUUACCUGCCAUUUGCUAUGGCAAACCUUGUUAUCAGUUCCGAACAAAUAAGGAAAUUUUAUCGGAUGCUGUGCAGGCUCGAAGGUAGAACAAGCUUCUCUAACUCUAGCCGAUUUUUAAAGCAACAUCUUGUUCAUAAGUUCAAAGUUUCAAAACCGCCAGAAAAUCACUCCCUUGCUCGCGAAAUAGAAAUCUAUAAAGAUCUAAUGCACUACAGAGAAUCAGUAGAGCAAUUCACUAAUCUUUUGUAUAAGUAUCGUAUUCUAAAUCGUAUGAGCGAUAGGGAGUACAUAAAACUACAAGCGAAUCAUCUCGGUUUAUCUAUGCCCAAAUUUUCUGACGAAAAAGGAGACGCUAACACGUGGAAGACUUCGAUCCGUCCCCCAGUAAAUAAGUUCGCAGCUGAAUAAUUAAAACCAGAAAACUCAACAAUAACACAAAAUCUAGCAGUAUUCUCUUCAUUUCCAUCUCCUUAGAAAAGCUGAUGUUAUUUCACUUGGCCGUGCGCCAUCUUAAUGCAGAAGGCUUUCGACUUAAAUGGCGGAGCCGAACUUUCAUUCAGCUGGUGUAUGAUGUACUAAAAACAUAAACAUCUUUAAAAUU